RNAcentral lists this ribosomal RNA (224 nucleotides) under uncultured bacterium. RNAcentral's name for it is "partial 16S ribosomal RNA". It matches the Rfam family "Bacterial small subunit ribosomal RNA", at positions 1268 to 1500 of the family's 1533-position model. The record is from RNAcentral.
CGGAUCUCGAAAGCCUGUCCCAGUUCGGACUGGAGUCUGCAACCCGACUCCACGAAGUUGGAUUCGCUAGUAAUCGCGCAUCAGCCAUGGCGCGGUGAAUACGUUCCCGGGCCUUGUACACACCGCCCGUCAAGCCAUGGGAGCCGGGGGCGCCUGAAGUCCGGGACCGCGAGGACCGGCCUAGGGCGAAACUGGUAACUGGGGCUAAGUCGUAACAAGGUAGC